Molecule: ribosomal RNA, 256 nt
Filed under: uncultured bacterium
Lineage: Bacteria
Description: partial 16S ribosomal RNA
Rfam family: Bacterial small subunit ribosomal RNA
Source: RNAcentral
UACGUAGGGGGCAAGCGUUGUCCGGAAUUAUUGGGCGUAAAGAGCGUGUAGGCGGUCCGGUAAGUCGGCUGUGAAAGUCCAGGGCUCAACCCCUGGGAUGCCGGUCGAUACUGCCGGACUAGAGUUCGGAAGAGGCGAGUGGAAUUCCCGGUGAUAGCGGUGAAAUGCGCAGAUAUCGGGGAGGAACACCAGUGGCGAAGGCGACUUCCUGGCCUGUUCUUGACGCUGAGGCGCGAAAGCUAGGGUAGCAAACGGG